GAAAUGCGAUAAGUAGUGUGAAUUGCAGAAUUCAGUGAAUCAUCGAAUCUUUGAACGCACAUUGCGCCCCUUGGUAUUCCAUGGGGCAUGCCUGUUCGAGCGUCAUUUGUACCCUCAAGCUCUGCUUGGUGUUGGGUGUUUGUCCCGUCUCCGCGCGUGGACUCGCCCCAAAGUGAUUGGCAGCCGGCGUACUGGUCCCGGAGCGCAGCACAUGUCGCGCAAACGAGUGCCUUGGUACGGCGGCGUCCAUAGCCCCUCUCUCACGCUCUUGACCUCGGAUCAGGUAGGGAUACCCGCUGAACUUAAGC
RNAcentral lists this unclassified non-coding RNA (308 nucleotides) under plant metagenome. RNAcentral describes it as "partial contains 5.8S ribosomal RNA, internal transcribed spacer 2, and large subunit ribosomal RNA". The stretch from base 1 to 105 matches the Rfam family "5.8S ribosomal RNA", at positions 50 to 154 of the family's 154-position model. The record is from RNAcentral.